RNAcentral lists this transfer RNA (74 nucleotides) under Kofleriaceae bacterium. RNAcentral describes it as "tRNA-Cys". Lineage: Bacteria; Pseudomonadati; Myxococcota; Haliangiales; Kofleriaceae. The record is from RNAcentral.
GCGUCCGUGGCCGAGCAGCGAGGCCUGCGGCUGCAACCCGCAUCACCCCGGUGCAACUCCGGGCGGACGCUCCA